This 253-nucleotide ribosomal RNA is filed under the name uncultured bacterium. RNAcentral describes it as "partial 16S ribosomal RNA". It matches the Rfam family "Bacterial small subunit ribosomal RNA", at positions 524 to 776 of the family's 1533-position model. The record is from RNAcentral.
UACGUAGGGACCGAGCGUUGUCCGGAAUCAUUGGGCGUAAAGAGCGUGUAGGCGGCCUUUUAAGUCCUGCGUGAAAUCCUGCGGCUCAACCGCAGACGGUCGUGGGAAACUGGAAGGCUAGAGUGCGGGAGAGGAGAGUGGAAUUCCCGGUGUAGCGGUGAAAUGCGCAGAUAUCAGGAGGAACACCAAUGGCGAAGGCAGCACUCUGGGACGUGACUGACGCUGAGACGCGAAAGCGUGGGGAGCAAACAGG